Molecule: long non-coding RNA, 592 nt
Filed under: Scleropages formosus (Asian bonytongue)
Lineage: Eukaryota; Metazoa; Chordata; Actinopteri; Osteoglossiformes; Osteoglossidae
Description: lncRNA (ENSSFOG00015033238.1)
Source: RNAcentral
GUUUGCAGCGUUGGUUUAUUAGCUGUAUUUACAGUGUCCUGCAAAAAAAACAAGAGGCAGCAAACAUUUCCAAAUGUUGCUGGAAUGCAAAUGAAAUGGUCACAUCUCUUCAGUUAGGGCAUCAGGUGGUGUGGUGGUUAGUGCCAUCACAGGACCCAGGCUUGAAUCCCAUGUCCUUCUGCAAUACCCUUGGUCAAAGUUACCCAGCUGUAUAAAUCAUUGUACUCUAAGUAUUCAUCCAUCGUCAACAACCGCUUGUCCCAAGCAGGGUCGCGGCAAGCUGGAGCGUUACCCAGCAGCGCAGGGCCGAGGGGACGCACCUAGGACGGGACGCCAGACCGUCACAAGGCACUCCAAGCAGGGCUUGAACCCCAGACCCGCCGGACAGCAGGCACUGGCCAAACUUGCCACGCCACCGUGUCCCCCGGCACUGCAAACCGGAGCCUAACCCAGCAACACAGGGCGCAAGGCGGGACACCAGUUCAUCACAAGGCACCCCAACCAGGACUCCAACUCUAGACCCGCCAGAGAGCAGGACCUGACCAAACCCGCUGUGCCACCGCACUGCCACGCCCCCUUCUCAUUUAUACAG